This 547-nucleotide unclassified non-coding RNA is filed under the name Hevea brasiliensis (rubber tree). The record is from RNAcentral. Lineage: Eukaryota; Viridiplantae; Streptophyta; Magnoliopsida; Malpighiales; Euphorbiaceae.
GGAAAUGGGAAUUCCAACGACAUCUUACCUCAUCAGACCAAGGAAAAACACGUAUAUAUCAAAGAAUAGUAAGCUCAAAACUCCAAACAAGAAUUUCAUACUGAUACAUUAAUUAAAACAAGUAGUUGGCAAAUUCUCUCAAGAGUAAUUAAAAGUCGGAAUAAGACAUGGCGGGCCAAAAGAAGCUAUGAAACUCAGCAGUAAGAACUAAACCCAACAGAGAACUAAUAAUCAUCAUGUUCAGGUUCUUGAAAAUAACCUUCACUUCCAUGCAUAAUCUAAACUGACUUUGUACAUCAUGUUAAUAUAUUUAGUAACAUUACAGAACAGAUUAUAAGCUACUAAACAAACCAACUACUGCAUCACAAAGCUGUUUAAGUGAUUAAUGGAAAAAGGAACUUCACAAAAAAUAGACUCCAAAUUAGUGUUUCCAUUGACCAUGAACAUAAACCAUGCAUUUAGAAAAGAAGAAUGAGAUUUUAAACUGCACUGGUAUCAAAUCACAAAUCAUAAAAGGCACAACCAAAUGCAAGUACAAGGCCAACCU